UGAAUACGAGACGCUAAGGCGUCGAAGUAGUGUAUGUCAUACUUCCAAGAAAAGCUUGCACUGUCAUAGAUAAAAAACGCCUGUACCAUAACCGACACAGGUGGGUAGGUAGAGUAUACUAAGGGGCGCGAGAUAACUCUCUCUAAGGAACUCGGCAAAAUAACUCCGUAACUUCGGGAGAAGGAGUGCCUUAUUCGUAAGGUUGCAAUAACAAGAUCCAAGCAACUGUUUAUCAAAAACACAGGUCUCCGCUAAGUCGUAAGACGAUGUAUGGGGGCUGACGCCUGCCCAGUGCCAGAAGGUUAAAGAAGUUGGUUAGCAAUUGCGAAGCUGAUAACUGAAGCCCUGGUGAACGGCGGCCGUAACAAUAACGGUCCUAAGGUAGCGAAAUUCCUUGUCGGGUAAGUUCCGACCCGCACGAAAGGCGUAAUGAUUUGGAUACUGUCUCGGAGAGGGGCUCGGUGAAAUAGACUUGUCUGUGAAGAUGCGGACUACCUGCACCAGGACAGAAAGACCCUAUGAAGCUUUACUGUAACUUGAAAUUGAAAUUGGACUUUAUUCGCGCAGCAUAGGUGGGAGGCGUUGAUUAUAAUCUUGCGGGAUUAUUGGAGCCAUCAGUGAGAUACCACUCUUGUAAUGUUAGAUUUCCAACUUUGAAUCAUUAUCUGGUCAAAGAACAGUUUCAGGCGGGCAGUUUGACUGGGGCGGUCGCCUCCUAAACGGUAACGGAGGCGUACAAAGGUUUCCUCUGAACGGUUAGAAAUCGUAUCUAGGGUGUAAAGGCAUAAGGAAGCUUGACUGUGAGACCUACAAGUCGAGCAGGGACGAAAGUCGGUCUUAGUGAUCUGACGGUACUGAGUGGAAAGGCCGUCACUCAACGGAUAAAAGUUACUCUAGGAUAACAGGCUGAUCUCCCCCAAGAGUUCACAUCGACGGGGAGGUUUGGCACCUCGAUGUCGGCUCAUCGCAUCCUGGGGCGGUAGUACGUCCCAAGGGUUGGGCUGUUCGCCCAUGAAAGCGGUACGCGAGCUGGGUUCAGAACGUCGUGAGACAGUUCGGUCCAUAUCCGGUGUAGGCGUUAGAAUAUUGAGAGGAGCCUUCUUUAGUACGAGAGGACCGAGAAGGACAUACCUCUGGUGUACCAGUUAUCGUGCCAACGGUAAACGCUGGGUAGCUAUGUAUGGAGUGGAUAACCGCUGAAAGCAUCUAAGUGGGAAGCCCACCUCAAGAUAAGUA
RNAcentral lists this ribosomal RNA (1236 nucleotides) under metagenome. RNAcentral's name for it is "bacterial LSU rRNA". It matches the Rfam family "Bacterial large subunit ribosomal RNA", at positions 1564 to 2810 of the family's 2925-position model. The record is from RNAcentral.